This 682-nucleotide ribosomal RNA is filed under the name uncultured fungus from ectomycorrhizal root. RNAcentral's name for it is "eukaryotic LSU rRNA". The stretch from base 245 to 398 matches the Rfam family "5.8S ribosomal RNA". The record is from RNAcentral. Lineage: Eukaryota; Fungi.
UCAUUAGCGAAAUGUGAACCUCGUAAAGGGUUGUUGCUGGCCUCUCUCUAUAGAGAGGUAUGUGCACACCUGGAUCGUUCAUCCUCUCUUUCUUACACCCUGUGCACAACCUGUAGCUUGGGAUGAUCACGGAGCGUGCUGCUUGUGUAGCCACCUCGAAUGCCCUCGCUAUGAAUGCUUUUAUAUACACCCUUAUAAAGUCUUGUAGAAUGUCGAUAAGCGUGUAACAGCGCGAAAGUAAUACAACUUUCAGCAACGGAUCUCUUGGCUCUCGCAUCGAUGAAGAACGCAGCGAAAUGCGAUAAGUAAUGUGAAUUGCAGAAUUCAGUGAAUCAUCGAAUCUUUGAACGCACCUUGCGCUCCUUGGUAUUCCGAGGAGCAUGCCUGUUUGAGUGUCAUGAACUUCUCAACUGCUUUGACUUUGUUGUUGAAGUGAAGUUGGACUUGGAGGAUCUUUGCUGGCGUGAGCUUGUGUGUGGUUUGCUGCAUGCUUGCUUGCUUGUUGGCUCCUCUUAAAAGUAUGAAACCUUUCUGGUAGAUCUUGGCAAAAGAGUAUCUUCGACGUGAUAACUAUCUGUGUCGUUGAGAAAGCUUAAGAGCAGGGCCCUUUGAAGGCUCCUACAGGGAAACGUUCAUGUGUACGUCUCUUAGAUGAGACUACCACCUUGACCAAUUCGACCUC